GUUAAAAAAAAUAUUAAAAAAAAAGAUAAACCGUGAAAAUAUCUCAAAAAUGAUUUAUCUGAUGGAAAAUAAUAGAAUAGCGAGGAAAAUUAUUAAAACCCAUCUGGCAAUGGGGCCGCUUAAAGGUAAGUAGUGAGUUUAUUUAUUAGUCAAUCGUAAGUUACGUAUUUUGUUUAUAACUUCCAAUUAAGAGUUUAUAUUUCGUAUUUACCCGACAACUGACCAGCCGUGGUGUAUAUGAGCGACAGAAACUUAAAAAUAUUAAUUAUGUUUCAGCACGAAACAAGGGAUACCUAACAUCUGGAUAUAUUGUAAAAAAAUUAAGAAUAUUAUCUUAACAAAAAGAUAAAAGAUGAUGUCACGCUAAAAGUGAUUCUCUCAGCAAAUGGGCUACGGAUUCAAAGUAAACAGGAUGGAUAGGUGUUUUAAAUUUUCAAAAUGUUACUAAAGGUAACCAAGCCAUCAGUGGUAGUUGUCAAGAAUGAGGAA
This is a long non-coding RNA of Pieris napi, 489 nucleotides long. RefSeq lists it as uncharacterized. The transcript is spliced from 2 exons. The record is from RefSeq and is a predicted model, not a curated record. Lineage: Eukaryota; Metazoa; Arthropoda; Insecta; Lepidoptera; Pieridae.